Long non-coding RNA from Daphnia pulex (common water flea), 1525 nucleotides. RefSeq lists it as uncharacterized. The record is from RefSeq and is a predicted model, not a curated record. The transcript has 8 exons. NCBI's taxonomy places the organism in Eukaryota, Metazoa, Arthropoda, Branchiopoda, Diplostraca, Daphniidae.
GGCGGCGCCCAGGUGAAAUGUCGUUUGUCGCGGUCCUCUUCCAUGGCGUUUGAUAAUUCAAGUUCUCUGACGUGCUUAUUUCAUUGUUCAUAUUAUUGUGUCAAUCACUGAAAGAGGAUCAGCAUCCUGGUGAUCUCUUCCAGGAGGAAAAUGACUACACGGUCAAUAAAAACAGGGUGAAGAAAAGAUAACAAAUUCUAUUAAAGGGGUCAUCAAGCAAAAUGAGAACUAUCUGGUUAUCCUUCCACGGAAAAGGCAAACACCACCAACAUGGUCAACAAGUUUGUUAACCCAUUGAAUGUUACCGGGUAGCAGUAACCCUUGAAUUCCCUCUCCUUAGUUCCUUGAAAUGGGCCCACUCUUAUUUUGAGUUAUUGCUUGCUGUCGUAAACAAUCUUACAUGCAAUUUUAAAAUCUAAAGUCACCUCCAUUCUCGUUUAAGGUUAACCUCUGCCGCUAUUCCAUGGACUGAAUCCAUUGGUGGAAACUUACGACAAAUCAGUGACAACUGACUAACGGGCUGUCAUUCAGCAAUACUUUUCACAUGCGUGCCAUCCUUCCGUCGCCCCAAGGCACGGGGGAGUUGUGCCUGCUCCAGCUAUACGAGGCCAGGAUAAUUUGACUACCCAGCAACCGACGGUCUGGUGGGCCAACUCACCCAUCACUGACUCCAACUACCCCUGCUCUCAAAUGACCAAAGGACGACGAUUUUGUUCUAAACUACAGAUUUCUAAAUUUGCAUGACAGAAUUUCUGAGAAGUCAUGUGCUUUGAAAGAGAAAAGACAAAAACUACAGUCAACAAGGUCCCUUGUUUGGUAACCUGUUGGCUGCCACCAUAUCUCCCUUUUUACUUCCUUCUCGACUUGAGGGUAACUCCUUUGCUACUUAUCAUGGACUUCAUCCAUUGGUGAAAACGCAAGAUUGGUGAAAGCGCAAGGUGUCAAUGUGUUGUCCAAAGCUAAUGUUGAGGGUGCAAUUUUGGAAGACUACAAGGUCACAUUGACCUUAAACGAUGGUCAAAAGCAGAUUUAAACUGACCAUGUCGUCGCUGUUGUCGAUUGGGACGCAAAAUUCACGGAUUUGGCUGUCGUUUCUGGUUCGGAAAUAGAUUUCCAUUUUGGUGGUUAUCGAGUCAAUACCGAGCUUGAAGCACGAUCGAACGUCUGGUUGGCUGGAGAUGUUACGUCUUUUUGUGAUAUCAAAUUGGGUCGUCUUCGUACGGAACAUCAUCACUUUGCUGUUGUAUCAGGGCGAUUGCUGGAGAGAACAAUACUGGCAACGAAACAUGGAUGAACAACUGCAGUGCACUGUCACCAAGUUCAUUCUUCGUGACGUCGUAUUAUCAGUACGCAAUCGGUAUCGUGCUGUUGCCGUUUGUCGUAUCGUUGAAGGUUGGGUCGAUCACUGGUGUACUCGUGGCUCCUGGGUAUGGCGGAUACCAAAGCACCACGCCGCCGCCUUGCUACACAACGACAACAUUCGCACCAACCGGUUACUACACUGAGGACCACAAUUACUACACCA